UACGGAGGAUGCGAGCGUUAUCCGGAUUUAUUGGGUUUAAAGGGUGCGUAGGCGGCGCCCCAAGUCAGCGGUAAAAAUGCGGUGCUCAACGCCGUACAGCCGUUGAAACUGGGGGGCUCGAGUGCGCCAGGAGCAUGCGGAAUGCGCAGUGUAGCGGUGAAAUGCAUAGAUAUUGCGCAGAACUCCGAUCGCGAAGGCAGCAUGCUAUGGCGGGACUGACGCUGAGGCACGAAAGCGUGGGGAUCGAACAGGAUUAGAUACCCUGGUAGUCCACGCAGUAAACGAUGAGCACUGACUGUGCGGGGCGAACGGGCCCUGCGCGGUAAAGCGAAAGCGUUAAGUGCUCCACCUGGGGAGUACGCCGGCAACGGUGAA
RNAcentral lists this ribosomal RNA (375 nucleotides) under uncultured bacterium. RNAcentral's name for it is "bacterial SSU rRNA". It matches the Rfam family "Bacterial small subunit ribosomal RNA", at positions 524 to 898 of the family's 1533-position model. The record is from RNAcentral.